RNAcentral lists this ribosomal RNA (928 nucleotides) under uncultured Ascomycota. Its description in RNAcentral is "eukaryotic LSU rRNA". The stretch from base 275 to 928 matches the Rfam family "Eukaryotic large subunit ribosomal RNA", at positions 1 to 664 of the family's 3401-position model. Lineage: Eukaryota; Fungi; Ascomycota. The record is from RNAcentral.
AUCGAUGAAGAACGCAGCGAAAUGCGAUAAGUAAUGUGAAUUGCAGAAUUCAGUGAAUCAUCGAAUCUUUGAACGCACAUUGCGCCCUCUGGUAUUCCGGAGGGCAUGCCUGUUCGAGCGUCAUUACAACCCUCAAGCUCUGCUUGGUAUUGGGCCUCGGGCGUCAGCCCGUGCCCUAAAAUCAGUGGCGGUGCCAUCUGGCUCUAAGCGUAGUAAAUUCUCUCGCUAUAGACGUCCGGUGGAUGCUUGCCAAAACCCCCAAUUUUUUACAGGUUGACCUCGGAUCAGGUAGGGAUACCCGCUGAACUUAAGCAUAUCAAUAAGCGGAGGAAAAGAAACCAACAGGGAUUACCUCAGUAACGGCGAGUGAAGCGGUAACAGCUCAAAUUUGAAAUCUGGGUCUUUUAGACUCCGAGUUGUAAUUUGUAGAAGAUGCUUCGGGUGUGGCUCCGGUCUAAGUUCCUUGGAACAGGACGUCAUAGAGGGUGAGAAUCCCGUAUGUGAUCGGUCGCCUAUGCCCAUGUGAAGCUCUUUCGACGAGUCGAGUUGUUUGGGAUUGCAGCUCAAAAUGGGAGGUAAAUUCCUUCUAAAGCUAAAUAUUGGCGAGAGACCGAUAGCGAACAAGUACCGUGAGGGAAAGAUGAAAAGCACUUUGGAAAGAGAGUUAAACAGUACGUGAAAUUGUUAAAAGGGAAACGAUUGAAGUCAGUCGCGUCUACUUGGACUCAGCCUUACCUCGGUUUGGUGCAUUUCCUUGUAGACGGGCCAGCGUCGAUGUUAGUUGCUGGAAAAAGGUGUAGGGAAUGUGGCUCUUUCGGGAGUGUUAUAGCCCUAUGUCAUAUGCAGUGACCGGUAUCGAGUGUAACAGCACGCUUUUGCGGUGCUUGUGCUGGCGUAAUGGCUUUAAACGACCCGUCUUGAAACACGG